CCCUCAGGUAUUACAAGAGACAGUUAGAUGUAGAACUGACUGCUUUCAACGAGAGAGAGAGAGAAAAAAUUCCUGCCCACAAAAAUACAGUUAGAGCAUAACAGAUUACAGGAGCAAAGAGAAGCAGGCCUACAGGCUCCUGCGCAAGAAGAGCAUGACAGACAAAAAACUUUAGAUAAAAGAGAGGUGGAGCUAGAUGAGAGAGAGAAAAAACUGCUGCAGACCACUGGAUCACAGCAUGUUGAUCACAUCUCUACAGCUGUUACUCCCUCUUGUGUCAUAGUGUCUGAAGACAAACCCAAAUCUCAAGAAGACACUGGAUCACCUGAGUCUGAAGGAUUGAAACUUGUGAGACAAGACAGCAAGAAAUUAGCUCCACCUAAUAGUAAGAAUUCUUUUGUGGAUUUGUAGAAAACUGGUCCUCUGGACUUGCGUUGUGUCAACUACUGUGAUAAAACUUUCCUUUGUUAUGGAUGUCAUCAUUUUUAUUUACUUAGACAAACAUACCUUGAAAUCACAGCCAUAUGAUAAAACAAUAAAAGCAAGAAUGACAAGAGCAAUGAAAAUAUGUAAAACAAUAAAAUAGAAUUACAUAAAUUUAUAAUAAAAGACUAUUAAAUGACAAAUUAUGCAAAUCAAAUGACAAAUAAAUUAUUAAAAGUUAUAAAUGACCAUAUCAUAAAAAUAAUAAGACCACACAAGCGCAGGCUGCUGUUGAGAAUGCUUAUCCUUCAAAGUACUGUAUUUGAACUCAAGAUGUCAUUGUGUUUUUUCAGUGUCUGAAAACAAAGUCGAACCUCAGAGUGAAAGAGAAUGUGAGAUGGAAAGUAGAAUAACAGAUUCACAAACCAGCAGAUCGCUUAAAGGUGAAGUACUGAAACCUGUGAGACGGACAGCAUUCGAGAUCGACCCAGCAGUAAGUAUUUCACAUAACAAGCAAGCAAUCUCUUGUUAAGGGCACUGACAUGCAUUUGCUGGAAUAGUACAGAAUCUCUGGAUUUUUAUUUAUUUACUUCUACUCUAUGCCGAUAAAACUGUAGUUAUGCAAAAGUAUGUGAUUUUUUUUCUUUCUCUCUUUCUCUUUCCAUUCAGUUUUCUGGAGUGAAGAGUGCCAGUAUCCCUCAGAACUGAGUUAGCAUGUAAUGGGAAAUGCUUCAUGUACUCCCACAUGAUAGCAGUGCAUGUAUUUCAUGAGCUGUAAUACAUAUAUUUGUACAUCGCAUAUUUGUACUUUAGUAACUAUAUUAGUAAGCAAAAGCUAAUGUCUGUAACUGGUUUUGAUAUGGUUUUUGAUGUUUUCUCUGAAUAUUUUAUGUGUAUAAGUUCUGUUAAAUCUGGCAUUAACAGGUAUGUUGAUCACAGUUACAAUGAGCAUCUUUUUUUCAUGAAAAAUGUGGUUUAGAGGAGAUUGAACACAAAAUGAAAUUUUAAAAUCCUUGGUGAUUAAUCAUAUCAUCUGAUCACAUGCCUGUGUAACGGUUUUCAUUAUUGUGAAAUAGGAAACCUUGUCUAAAGUACUCCCUUGAAGGUUUUAAACUUUGAACUAAACUGAGCAAUAAUGUAAUCUUUUCUAUAAAGCCUGUAAAGUUUUGUAGGAUUGUACUAUUAACAUGCUAUAGGUAAAUAAAUAAUGGCAUAGGCUUAUUAUUUAACACUAAUAAAUUUUUUUGUUUCAAUCUAUUGUAAACUUAUCUUGCUAUUUUUAGUGCAGAUUGUAAACUGCAGUGAUGCAUUCUAGAAUAACUGACAUUAGUACAGUGACACAAAUUAAUGUGCAACUGAGGUAUUUAAUAAAAGUAGCCUAUAAUUUAUUUUGCCUGCCUUUUUUAAAUAAGCCAGCUGCAUUAACAAUGACUUGAAGUAAAAAUACAGAAAAGCAUUCUUAAGACAAAACUGUCAAUGACACAGCACCUUUAAUAAGAUUAAGAAAGUAAAAGUACAAAACAGACAUUAAACAUUACAACUUGUUACAUCAUAUCAGAAUUCGUUGGGUAACUUAAAAAAACCUUGAAAAGUGCUCUGAAAGCACAGGCUCUCUCUCUGCUGCUUCUGGUAUUUUCUAACUGUGCCACGCGGCAAGUCAUGUGCGUGCACGUGGUUGGCGGGCGAAAUUCGGCACAAUAAAGGUUGCAUUGCAGUGCCAGGCCAAAGUAGUUUAAUACUCAAAACCUGUUAACAGCAGAUCUUGUCUGAUACAUAAAAUACCCAAAACUCUUUAAACAGUCUUUUGUCGAACAAGCCUACUCUCAAAAAGAAGUGUGAAUUGAUACCCACCAUUUAAAGCUUCUCCUAAUUGGAUUUCCUAAAUUGAAAAUUCAAAAGAUUAGCAUUACAUUUUAUGAAAAGGCAUAAAUAAUAAAUAUUUGUAAACAACCAACUGUAUGAGUUAUGUUAUGACAGGCUGCAUUAUGCUAUUUAACACAGAAAGACAGUGUAAUUCAUGCAAAGAGAAAAGUCAUGAUUGGCCAAUUUCGAAGGGCCCAAAAUGGCCAAGUAACACAAUAAUAGUAAGACUUACCUGAUGGAUACAAAUUGAUCUCAUCAUUGUGAUUUGUAUAAGUGAAAAAAGAAAAUAUAUACCGGAUAAUAGGCGUUUAUUCUUAUGUCAUCCUUAUGAAAGCUGCAUCUACAUUAAUAAAUAAUUAAAAUAUCUCUGCAUUGUUUUUCAUUGACACAUUCAUAGUCAUUACUUUGCAGUGCCCUAAAGGCUCGAAAAAAGUGAUCUCUCCUGGUUGGACUUAGUAUCGACACCCUGAUCUGAGCCCAAUCUUUCCACGCGUGUAAAAAUUCAUCAUCUGAGAAUAACAUGGUCCAGGGUGUCUGUAUUUAAAAAGGCCAGUUGCCCAUCCCUGCUUUAGACAUAAAUUUAUAUCUCACAUCCUGGAAUUUGAGAAGAGUAGAAAACUGCAAGUUAAUAUUUUAAACUAAGGAGUUAGCUUUGAGACUAGAAACUUUGCAUUAUUGUUUUUUUUUUUUUUUUUUUACAUUAAUGCUGUAUCAAGAGCAACUUACAUUCUAAACUCUUGAAAUGUCAACAAUAUGAAGCGAUGGAACAGGGUAGAAGAGCGAUGGAACUGAAUAAAAAUGUGAUGAAACAGGACAGAAGAGCAAAGGAACAGGAUAAAACUAAGAUGGAACUGGAUAGAAGAGGGAUGGAACUGGAUAGAAGACAGAAGAAACUGAAGACAAGAGCUCCUAAGUUUAAGAAAUGAAUCAUGAAAUAAUAGAAUUUCAUAACUCUAGAAAUUUUAACCAAAUGUAAAGGACAAAACAGUUCUCAAAUAUUUUUAACAAAUACUAUAGCAUCUACAGCACAACAGAGUUUAAUUAACUCUUUGUAUAACAAGCAACACUUAAUAUUUGCAAAAAAAAAAUCCACUGCCUCACUCUCUGAGUAAAAAGAAAUAAAAAAAUAACCAAAUUAAUUGCUUUAAAAUAAAUAACAUUUCUCAAAAACAGAAAUACUUCUGCGUAUUAAAAUGGCACCGCAGUUGCCCAGUGUUAAAAGGUUUCAACACAUGAAGUCUCUCUUAGAAAGAAUGCAUAGUACACAUCUCUUU
Molecule: long non-coding RNA, 3560 nt
Organism: Cyprinus carpio carpio
Lineage: Eukaryota; Metazoa; Chordata; Actinopteri; Cypriniformes; Cyprinidae
Source: Ensembl